CCUACGGGCGGCAGCAGUGGGGAAUAUUGCACAAUGGGCGCAAGCCUGAUGCAGCCAUGCCGCGUGUGUGAAGAAGGCCUUCGGGUUGUAAAGCACUUUCAGCGGGGAGGAAGGCGGUGAGGUUAAUAACCUCAUCGAUUGACGUUACCCGCAGAAGAAGCACCGGCUAACUCCGUGCCAGCAGCCGCGGUAAUACGGAGGGUGCAAGCGUUAAUCGGAAUUACUGGGCGUAAAGCGCACGCAGGCGGUCUGUCAAGUCGGAUGUGAAAUCCCCGGGCUCAACCUGGGAACUGCAUUCGAAACUGGCAGGCUAGAGUCUUGUAGAGGGGGGUAGAAUUCCAGGUGUAGCGGUGAAAUGCGUAGAGAUCUGGAGGAAUACCGGUGGCGAAGGCGGCCCCCUGGACAAAGACUGACGCUCAGGCGCGAAAGCGUGGGGAGCAAACAGGAUUAGAUACCCGAGUAGUC
Molecule: ribosomal RNA, 465 nt
Filed under: uncultured Klebsiella sp.
Lineage: Bacteria; Pseudomonadati; Pseudomonadota; Gammaproteobacteria; Enterobacterales; Enterobacteriaceae
Description: bacterial SSU rRNA
Rfam family: Bacterial small subunit ribosomal RNA
Source: RNAcentral